UUAAGUUCAGCGGGUAUUCCUACCUGAUCCGAGGUCAACCUUAGAAAUUUCUUCCCGCGAGGGGAGGAGACCGGAUACCUGUUGACCGCUUAAGGACCGAUACGUGCUUAGAGAUCAAGCUCCAUGUACCGGGGGUUCAACAGGCCGCCGUCAUUAACUUUGGGAGGGGUAUCCCCGGGGGGAGACACCAGGCCUUCCAA
Molecule: unclassified non-coding RNA, 200 nt
Filed under: Ramichloridium sp.
Lineage: Eukaryota; Fungi; Ascomycota; Dothideomycetes; Mycosphaerellales; Dissoconiaceae
Description: partial internal transcribed spacer 2
Source: RNAcentral